AACGCACCUUGCGCCCCUUGGCAUUCCGAGGGGCACACCCGUUUGAGUGUCGUGAAACCCUCAAAGAUCCUUUUUAGACUUACUGAAAAGGAUUUUUGGACUUGGAGGUUCAAUGCUCGCCUUUCACCUUUGAAAGUGAGCUCCUCUCAAAUGAAUUAGUGGGGUCUGCUUUGCUCGAUCCUUGACGUGAUAAGAUGUUUCUACGUUUUGGAUUUUGGCACUGUUCCUUGGACGCCUGCUUCUAACUGUCUCACAGACAAUGGAUGGUGCUCCGGUUCCUACCGCCUAACGUCGGUGGGAGGCUGGACCCACGAAUGAAAACCUUGACCUCAAAUCGGGUGAGACUACCCGCUGAACUUAA
This 361-nucleotide unclassified non-coding RNA is filed under the name uncultured Russula. RNAcentral's name for it is "sequence contains ITS2". The record is from RNAcentral. Lineage: Eukaryota; Fungi; Basidiomycota; Agaricomycetes; Russulales; Russulaceae.